Molecule: unclassified non-coding RNA, 184 nt
Filed under: Oehlia diaphana
Lineage: Eukaryota; Fungi; Glomeromycota; Glomeromycetes; Glomerales; Glomeraceae
Description: partial internal transcribed spacer region
Rfam family: Eukaryotic small subunit ribosomal RNA (bases 1-46)
Source: RNAcentral
AAGUCGUAACAAGGUUUCCGUAGGUGAACCUGCGGAAGGAUCAUUAAUGAUUUUAGCUAACCAUGGCUAUUUUAGCCAUGGUUAUGCGAAAUUUUGUAUUUAAAACCCCACUCUUUAUAAUAAAAAAUUUAUUAUAUUUAUGAUAAAAAUAAGAUCACUUUCAACAACGGAUCUCUUGGCUCUC